RNAcentral lists this ribosomal RNA (433 nucleotides) under uncultured bacterium. RNAcentral's name for it is "partial 16S ribosomal RNA". It matches the Rfam family "Bacterial small subunit ribosomal RNA", at positions 29 to 507 of the family's 1533-position model. The record is from RNAcentral.
AACGAACGCUGGCGGCAGGCCUAACACAUGCAAGUCGAGCGCGCCCUUCGGGGUGAGCGGCGGACGGGUGAGUAACGCGUGGGAACGUGCCCUUUUCUACGGAAUAGCCUCGGGAAACUGAGAGUAAUACCGUAUACGCCCUUUGGGGGAAAGAUUUAUCGGAAAAGGAUCGGCCCGCGUUGGAUUAGGUAGUUGGUGGGGUAAUGGCCUACCAAGCCGACGAUCCAUAGCUGGUUUGAGAGGAUGAUCAGCCACACUGGGACUGAGACACGGCCCAGACUCCUACGGGAGGCAGCAGUGGGGAAUCUUAGACAAUGGGGGCAACCCUGAUCUAGCCAUGCCGCGUGAGUGAUGAAGGCCUUAGGGUUGUAAAGCUCUUUCAGCUGGGAGGAUAAUGACGGUACCAGCAGAAGAAGCCCCGGCUAACUCCGUG